CCCUACGGGGCGCAGCAGGCGCGAAACCUCCGCAAUGUGCGCAAGCAUGACGGGGUCAUCCCGAGUGUCACCCGCUGAGGGUGGCUUUUGCCUGGUGUAACGAGCCGGGUGAAUAAGGGGAGGGCAAGUCUGGUGUCAGCCGCCGCGGUAAUACCAGCUCCUCGAGUGGUUGGGACGAUUAUUGGGUCUAAAGCGUCCGUAGCCGGUCGGAAAAGUUCUCCGUUAAAUCCAACGAUCCAAUCGUUGGGCUGCGGGGAAUACUUUCCGGCUUGGGGGCGGGGGAGGUCGGCGGUAGUCCCGGGGUAGGGGCGAAAUCCUAUAAUCCCGGGAGGACCACCAGUGGCGAAGGCGGCCGACUAAAACGCGCCCGACGGUGAGGGACGAAAGCUGGGGGAGCGAACGGGAUUAGAUACCCCGGUAGUCCCAGCUGUAAACGAUGCAGGCUAGGUGUUGGAACGGCUACGAGCCGUUCCGGUGCCGCAGGGAAGCCAUUAAGCCUGCCACCUGGGGAGUACGGCCGCAAGGCUGAAACUUAAAGGAAUUGGCGGGGGAGCACCACAAGGGGUGAAGCUUGCGGCUUAAUUGGAGUCAACACCGGGAACCUUACCAGGAGCGACAGUUGGAUGAAGGUCAGAUUAAAGUCUUACCGGACUA
This 654-nucleotide ribosomal RNA is filed under the name uncultured archaeon. RNAcentral describes it as "bacterial SSU rRNA". It matches the Rfam family "Archaeal small subunit ribosomal RNA", at positions 321 to 978 of the family's 1478-position model. The record is from RNAcentral.